AUGCAUAUCAUCCAGAACAAAUACCUGCGCGGCCAGUCGCUCGCCUUCUGCCAGCGGUCUAGGGGCUCCCAGUUCUGGCAAUCUAUCAUCCAGUUGCUCCCGGUCCUCCGCAUCGAGACCUCCAUUACAGUGGGCACAGGGACCGCCACCCUUUUCUGCUUUGACAGGUGGGCUAGGGAUGCCCCCUUCGCGGCUCGUUUCCCGGACAUGUUCUCCAUCGCGGUGGACCCUCGGGUCUCAGUUGAGGCGGCCCUUAUUGACUUAGGGCGCCUCACGUUCCAGCGGCCACUUGGGCCCCCGAAAAUAGCCGCCUGGCACGAGCUCCUAGACGUUGUGGCGCUCCACGAGCCGGAUGAGCUGGCGCACGACCGCCCAUCCUGGUACCUAGAGCCCUCGGCCAAAUUCUCCAUGAAGUCCCUAUACCGGGCCAUCGCUGCCACUCCUGGACCCGCGCCCCUAGAAACGAUCUGGUCGAUCAGACUCCCUCUGAAGAUCAGGAUCUUCCUAUGGCAAUGGAUCCGAGGGCAGGUGCCUUCUGGUGUGGAGGUGCUGAACCGGAAUGUCCCGGGAGAUGGGACAUGUCCCUUGUGUGGGACGGAAGAAGACUCAAACCACAUCUUCUUCUCGUGUGUCUCCGCCCAGUUCCUCUGGAGUUGCCUACAUGAGGUAGUCAUUGGUCGUUGGUGUAACACCUCUUCGCCGAGCUUCAGGCCUCGCCCCCAGUGCGUCACCACAUUAGGUGGCUGGCCAUUGGGGUCCUUGCGUGAAUGCUAUGGACGGUUCAAAAUAAGCUUGUGA
This 798-nucleotide ribosomal RNA is filed under the name Triticum aestivum (bread wheat). RNAcentral's name for it is "partial small subunit ribosomal RNA". Lineage: Eukaryota; Viridiplantae; Streptophyta; Magnoliopsida; Poales; Poaceae. The record is from RNAcentral.